GAAAAUAAAUUAGUUUAAUAAUUAAAAUUAUAAAUAAAAUUUAUUAGUUAGAUUGAUAUAAAUUAAAUAAUUAAGUUUAUAAAAUAUAAAGUAAUGUAAAUGAGUUAGUUUAAGUAUUUAAAAGAAGAUUUAAAUUGUCGUACCUUUUGUAUCAGGGAUUAUUAAAAUAAGAAUUUUAUAGGGGAAAAAUUUUCUUGAAAUUAAAAGAGUGAAUAAAUUAUUUUAGUUAAUGUAGAAUUAUUAUUAAAAAUAGUUUGUUAGAGAAUAUAUUUUAGUCAAUUUUAAUGAUAUCAAGUUUUUUUAAAAUUAAAUUUAAUUUAUAAUUAAUUAUUUAUAUUAUUUAUUUAGAAAAAUUUAUAAAAUAAAAAAUUUAAUAUAAUAAAUUAAUUAAAUAAAUUAUGGGAUAAACUAUAAUUUAAGUUUUAAAAGUAAUAUAAAUAAAAUGUAUAUAAUAAUAUUAGUAAUAUUUUAAUUUUAUAGAAAAAAUUUAAUAAUUUAUAUUUGAGAAUAAUUUAGUUUAAUUUUUAAGAUUUAAAUAAUUAGCUUUAAUAAUUUAUAAAAAUACUUAUAUUAAUUAAUUAUAUAAGGUAAUAAUGAUAAUAUAAGUAGAAUAUUUUAUUUAUUAAUUUGAUAAUUAAAAAUAAGUUAAAAAAUUUUAAUAAGGAAUUAGGCAAAAUUUUUAAAUUCACUUGUUUAAUAAAAACAUGGUUUUUUGAAAAUAAUUUAAGAUUGGUCCUGCUCAAUGAAAAAUAUUUUAAAUAGCUGCAGUAAUAUGACUGUACAAAGGUAGCAUAAUCAGUUGUUUUUUAAAUGAAAACUGGGAUGAAGGGAUUGAUGAAAUUUAAACUUUUUAAUUAAAAAUUUUUGAAUUUAUUAAUUAAGUAAGAAAACUUAGAUGGAAUUAUGGGACGAGAAGACCCUAUAGAAUUUUAUAUAUAAUUUUAUUAAUAAAAUUUUUAUUAGAAUAAAUUUAUAUAUUUAGUUGGGAGGAUAGUUAAAUUUAUAAAACUUUAAUUAAAAUUUAAAAUAUAAAUUAAUAAAUUUAAGAAUGGUUAAGUAAAUUAAUAAAGAAUUAAUUACCUUAGGGAUAACAGCGUAAUAUUUUUAGAGAGUUCAUAUUGAUAAAAGUGUUUGCGACCUCGAUGUUGAAUUAAGAUAAAAAUUAAGUGGAGAAGCUUAAUAUUUAAGUCUGUUCGACUUUUAAAAUCUUACAUGAUUUGAGUUUAAAUCGGCGUGAGCCAGAUUGGUUUCUAUCUAUAAUAAAAAUUAGGAUAUUUGUACGAAAGGACUAUAUUUAAAAAUUAGAUUUUAUUUAAUUUUAUUAAUUAAUAAAAAUUAUAAAAUUUAAAAA
Molecule: ribosomal RNA, 1351 nt
Filed under: Cardiocondyla obscurior
Lineage: Eukaryota; Metazoa; Arthropoda; Insecta; Hymenoptera; Formicidae
Description: 16S ribosomal RNA
Source: RNAcentral